This 561-nucleotide ribosomal RNA is filed under the name Triticum aestivum (bread wheat). Its description in RNAcentral is "partial small subunit ribosomal RNA". The record is from RNAcentral. Lineage: Eukaryota; Viridiplantae; Streptophyta; Magnoliopsida; Poales; Poaceae.
AUGGCGAACAAGGGUGCGCCAAGCGGAGUGCAGAAGCAACAUGCUCCACCCCCGCAGAAGAACCCAGCUCGUCGUCAAGGGACCGGUGGGGCGCGUCCCAAUCCCGUUGCCCCUCCCCCCAAAGGCGCUGCCCCUCCCCAACAAGCUCUGGUAGCGCCUCCGCCGCCGGCUCCACCUGCCCCGCUUGUCCAGAUCCUCGACGAGCGGUACAAAGACAUGGUAUGUUUCAAUUGUGGCGGCCCUGGUCAUUACGUGGGUAACUGCAUUCAGAAAAAGAUCUACUUCAUCUGCGGACUGGAAGGCCACAACGUGAACAAUUGCGCUGCCUGGGCUCAACCCCAUCCAGUGGCCACUUUCUUUGGAAGCUCGGCCCUGGGGUUGGGGUUCUACCAUAUCGAUGCACCAGUGGGACGUGAGGCAAACUGGCUCAACUUCAGGAAUUGUGGAGAGGUCUGGGUGAUGAAAGGUGAGAUCAACAGGGCAGAUCUAAUCAAGAACCUGUCGGGCAUCUUUUGCAAGAACAAGAACUGGUCCUGGCAAGUCAGACAACUAGCAGAUAAA